AAAUUGAAGAGUUUGAUCAUGGCUCAGAUUGAACGCUGGCGGCAGGCCUAACACAUGCAAGUCGAACGGUAACAGGAAGCAGCUUGCUGCUUUGCUGACGAGUGGCGGACGGGUGAGUAAUGUCUGGGAAACUGCCUGAUGGAGGGGGAUAACUACUGGAAACGGUGGCUAAUACCGCAUAACGUCGCAAGACCAAAGAGGGGGACCUUCGGGCCUCUUGCCAUCAGAUGUGCCCAGAUGGGAUUAGCUUGUUGGUGAGGUAACGGCUCACCAAGGCGACGAUCCCUAGCUGGUCUGAGAGGAUGACCAGCCACACUGGAACUGAGACACGGUCCAGACUCCUACGGGAGGCAGCAGUGGGGAAUAUUGCACAAUGGGCGCAAGCCUGAUGCAGCCAUGCCGCGUGUAUGAAGAAGGCCUUCGGGUUGUAAAGUACUUUCAGCGGGGAGGAAGGUGUUGUGGUUAAUAACCGCAGCAAUUGACGUUACCCGCAGAAGAAGCACCGGCUAACUCCGUGCCAGCAGCCGCGGUAAUACGGAGGGUGCAAGCGUUAAUCGGAAUUACUGGGCGUAAAGCGCACGCAGGCGGUCUGUCAAGUCGGAUGUGAAAUCCCCGGGCUCAACCUGGGAACUGCAUUCGAAACUGGCAGGCUUGAGUCUUGUAGAGGGGGGUAGAAUUCCAGGUGUAGCGGUGAAAUGCGUAGAGAUCUGGAGGAAUACCGGUGGCGAAGGCGGCCCCCUGGACAAAGACUGACGCUCAGGUGCGAAAGCGUGGGGAGCAAACAGGAUUAGAUACCCUGGUAGUCCACGCCGUAAACGAUGUCUACUUGGAGGUUGUGCCCUUGAGGCGUGGCUUCCGGAGCUAACGCGUUAAGUAGACCGCCCGGGAGUACGGCCGCAAGGUUAAAACUCAAAUGAAUUGACGGGGGCCCGCACAAGCGGUGGAGCAUGUGGUUUAAUUCGAUGCAACGCGAAGAACCUUACCUGGUCUUGACAUCCACAGAAGAAUCCAGAGAUGGAUUUGUGCCUUCGGGAACUGUGAGACAGGUGCUGCAUGGCUGUCGUCAGCUCGUGUUGUGAAAUGUUGGGUUAAGUCCCGCAACGAGCGCAACCCUUAUCCUUUGUUGCCAGCGGUUAGGCCGGGAACUCAAAGGAGACUGCCAGUGAUAAACUGGAGGAAGGUGGGGAUGACGUCAAGUCAUCAUGGCCCUUACGACCAGGGCUACACACGUGCUACAAUGGCGCAUACAAAGAGAAGCGACCUCGCGAGAGCAAGCGGACCUCAUAAAGUGCGUCGUAGUCCGGAUUGGAGUCUGCAACUCGACUCCAUGAAGUCGGAAUCGCUAGUAAUCGUGGAUCAGAAUGCCACGGUGAAUACGUUCCCGGGCCUUGUACACACCGCCCGUCACACCAUGGGAGUGGGUUGCAAAAGAAGUAGGUAGCUUAACCUUCGGGAGGGCGCUUACCACUUUGUGAUUCAUGACUGGGGUGAAGUCGUAACAAGGUAACCGUAGGGGAACCUGCGGUUGGAUCACCUCCUUACCUUAAAGAA
Molecule: ribosomal RNA, 1551 nt
Filed under: Salmonella enterica
Lineage: Bacteria; Pseudomonadati; Pseudomonadota; Gammaproteobacteria; Enterobacterales; Enterobacteriaceae
Description: bacterial SSU rRNA
Rfam family: Bacterial small subunit ribosomal RNA
Source: RNAcentral